Rosa rugosa (rugosa rose) is the source of this 652-nucleotide long non-coding RNA. RefSeq lists it as uncharacterized. The transcript has 4 exons. NCBI's taxonomy places the organism in Eukaryota, Viridiplantae, Streptophyta, Magnoliopsida, Rosales, Rosaceae. The record is from RefSeq and is a predicted model, not a curated record.
AAGUUUCCAUUUUCGGAAACUUACCGAGCCUCUCCCUUCUCUCUCCCCGAUUCUCUCUUCCUCUCCGACCUCUUCACCUUCUUCCGGCCUUAUCUCCUCCAUCCGGCGACGGAUUUUGACGUGUAAGAUGUCGUUGGAAAGCUCUCUUCCUUCUCUUCAUUUCUGGGUUCGUUUCGUAGCUUAAUAUGAACUGUGGAAGGUGCAGCAACGAGAAGAAGAGGACGGUCACUGUAGCAGUUUUGAGUCAACGCCGAUAUUUUCCGAUUCCGGCAGUCUCCGGCCACCAAAUUGGCGUCGAAGGGUUCUUGGAAUUUCUGGAAAAUUUUCACCGGCCAAAUUGGAGCUCUUCCAGGGCAAUGCCGCGAGCUACGGUUAAAUGAAGGAACUCGUUUGCGUGGUCGCCCAAUAGUACUUUUGCAGGUGAAAUUAGUUGAGGUCGGGCGUACAUAGAGUCGAGGCAUAGCCAACAGCAUUGCUUCCGCGUACUCAUUCUAUUUCUGUUUUCUUUGUUACCUAGUGGAUUAGUAUUGCUCUGAUAACCUAUGGGAUUAAUAUUGUUUUUGGGUUGAGACUGAUAUUUGUGAAAUUGGAGUUGUGAUUUGGGGAGCAGAUGGCUCCAGAAGAUUAAGGAUGGAUGAUUUAGAAGUGUAAA